AUUGAACGCUGGCGGCAGGCCUAACACAUGCAAGUCGAACGAGUGGCGGACGGGUGAGUAAUGUCUGGGAAACUGCCUGAUGGAGGGGGAUAACUACUGGAAACGGUAGCUAAUACCGCAUACUCUCAUAUGUGCCCAGAUGGGAUUAGCUAGUUGGUGGGGUAACGGCUCACCAGUGCGACGAUCCCUAGCUGGUCUGAGAGGAGGACCAGCCACACUGGAACUGAGACACGGUCCAGACUCCUACGGGAGGCAGCAGUGGGGAAUAUUGCACAAGGGGCGCAAGCCUGAUGCAGCCAUGCCGCGUGGAUGAAGAAGGCCUUCGGGUUGUAAAGUACUUUCAGCGGGGAGGCGUUACCCGCAGAAGAAGCACCGGCUAACUCCGUGCCAGCCGCCGCGGUAAUUC
Molecule: ribosomal RNA, 406 nt
Filed under: uncultured bacterium
Lineage: Bacteria
Description: partial 16S ribosomal RNA
Rfam family: Bacterial small subunit ribosomal RNA
Source: RNAcentral